AUGUUCCUGCUUUAUACGUAGAUGAAGUAUAUAUUGACCCAACAUUUUUUGAUUGGGAAUCUUGCUCUUUUAAUCUAUUGAUGCUCUUAAAUGAGAACUUGAAAUUGAAAGGCGGAUACCCACCUGUUGAGAGACAGGAUCAACUAUUAGUUCAUAUACGGUUUAGUGGGAACUUU
Molecule: non-coding RNA, 176 nt
Filed under: Clostridium grantii DSM 8605
Lineage: Bacteria; Bacillati; Bacillota; Clostridia; Eubacteriales; Clostridiaceae
Description: 6S / SsrS RNA
Rfam family: 6S / SsrS RNA
About the family: E. coli 6S RNA was the first non coding RNA to be sequenced, but its function was unknown until recently.
Source: Rfam by way of RNAcentral